RNAcentral lists this long non-coding RNA (1985 nucleotides) under Amborella trichopoda. Its description in RNAcentral is "long non-coding RNA (ATRI_LNC001112)". The record is from RNAcentral. Lineage: Eukaryota; Viridiplantae; Streptophyta; Magnoliopsida; Amborellales; Amborellaceae.
AUUAUGGAGAGUUGGGGGAAGAGGGAAAGUAUUGGGGAGAAGAGGGAGAGUAUUCUGGAGAGUUGGGGGAAGAGGGAGAGUAUUGGGGAGAAGAGGGAAAGUAUUGGGGAGAAGAGGGAGAGUAUUGGGAGAAGAGGGAGAGUAUUUUGGAGAGUUGGGAGAAGAGGGAAAGUAUUGGGGAGGGAGAGUAUUCUUGAAAGUUGGGGGAAAAGGUAGAGUAGUGGGGAGAAGAGGGAGAGUAUUCUUGAGAGUUAGGGGAAAGAGAGUACUGGGGAGAAGGAGGGGAAGAGGGACAGUGAGAAGGAGGGGAAGAGGGAGAGUAGUGUGGAGAGUUUGGGGUAGAGGGAGAGUAUUAGGGAAAAGAGGGAAAGUAUUGGGGAGAAGAGGGAAAAUAUUCUGAAGAGUUGGAGGAAGAGGGAGAGUAUUGGGGAGAAGAGGGAGAGUUAGGAGAAAGAUAGUACUGGGGGAAGAAGGAGGGGAACAGGGAGAGUAAUGUGGAGAGUUUAGCGAAGAAGAAGGGGAAAGAGGACAGUAAUCUGCAGAAUUUGGGGAAGAGGGAGAUUAGUGUGGAGAGUUUUGGGAUGAUGGGAUUUCAGAGGACUUUUCUUUUUCUUUGUUUCUGCCUUCUUAUUUGUCUCUGCCCAGUAGAUCUCAUUUCCUUCCUUUUUCUUGAGUUUUGUCUCUCUAGAAAAUCUCCCAUCUCCUUUUCUUUUCUCACAAUCUGCACAAUAUAAUAAAAAGAGUAAAUCAAAGUGAAUCUUUUCUCACAAUCUGCACAAUAUAAUGAAAAGAGUAAAUCAAAGUGAAUCUUUUCUCACAAUCUGCACAAUAUAAUGAAAAGAGUAAAUCAAAGUGAAAUUAAAAAGAUUUGAGGUCUAAGAAAUUAAAUAAUUAAUAAAAUAGUAAAAUAAGGAAAAAUUGGGAAAAUAUACAAAAAGUCGGAAAUACAAGAAACAAAUACAGAUCUUGAAACAAUAAAUAAAUACACAUUAACAGUAGUUGUAUAGAACACAUAAAUACUCAUUAAUAAUAUAAUAACUCAAUUCCAAUUUUUCUUUAUUUUCUUAUUUUUUCUGAUUUUAUUUAGGAUUCACUUUUAAGCCAUUGCAAAUUACAACAUUAAAAGCUAAAACUAUAAGUAUAUAAAAGAAAACCGAAGAAUAAAAGGAAAAACAGAAAGUUUUUCUCUAUUUUUUCCUUUUUUUUAUUUCCGUUUUUUCUUUUUAAAUUUUAUUUUAUUUUUCUGUUUUUUUAGAUUUUCUAAUUUCUCUCUUCUGCAUUUUCCAUUUCCCAUUCCAAAGAUUGAAAACAGAAAAGUAGAAAAACAAAAAAAAUGCCCCAUACGUAUUUCCCUUUGUUUUUUUGCAUUUUCAUUUUUUUUGCUGGUUUAUUAAUGUCCUUUACAAAACAUAAACUAAAACAGAAAUUGCAAUUUCAAUUUGCUCCUUAUUUCAUUGUUUGGAUUUUAUUUGGGAUUCAUCGUCUAAGCCCUUAUAAAUUUCAAUAUCAAAAGUUAAAACUAAUAUAUUAAAAAAAAACCAAAAAGAUAGGGUUUGUUCAAAUUUUUAUAUUUUCGGGUAGUAAUUUUAGGGGUUUUUACAAAAUUGUAAAACCCUUCUUUAAUAACCUAAAAUUGAAACCCAAAAGAAAAAAAAAACAAUACAAAACUAUAAAACCCUAAUUCUUGAUUUAAACCUAAAUUGGAAACAAAUGUUUCCUUUUUAUCCUACUUUCUAAAACUAAAGCACUAAAUAUUAAAUACUACUGAAUAUUUGAAUAAAAAACUCACCUGGGACUGUUGAAGCUGGCCGCCUGAACCAGCAGAAACUUGCCGGAGGAGCUUCUGGCUUUUCUUCAUUUUUUAAUCUUGCGAAAAGAGUGAGGAACGAUAAAACCUCCGUUUCCCUCUCUAAUUGAAAUGGAAAAGUUUUCCAUUAUUAAAAGGUGAAAACGUAUUCCAGUCCCAUGGGCGUACACUGUUCAUA